RNAcentral lists this ribosomal RNA (504 nucleotides) under uncultured bacterium. Its description in RNAcentral is "bacterial SSU rRNA". It matches the Rfam family "Bacterial small subunit ribosomal RNA", at positions 28 to 577 of the family's 1533-position model. The record is from RNAcentral.
AACGAACGCUGGCGGCAGGCUUAACACAUGCAAGUCGAACGCAUCCUUCGGGAUGAGUGGCAGACGGGUGAGUAACACGUGGGAACCUACCCAAAGGUACGGAAUAACACAGGGAAACUUGUGCUAAUACCGUAUGUGCCCUUCGGGGGAAAGAUUUAUCGCCUUUGGAUGGGCCCGCGUCGGAUUAGCUAGUUGGUGGGGUAAUGGCCUACCAAGGCGACGAUCCGUAGCUGGUCUGAGAGGAUGAUCAGCCACACUGGGACUGAGACACGGCCCAGACUCCUACGGGAGGCAGCAGUGGGGAACUAUUGGACAAUGGGCGCAAGCCUGAUCCAGCCAUGCCGCGUGAGUGAUGAAGGCCUUAGGGUUGUAAAGCUCUUUCAGCUGGGAAGAUAAUGACGGUACCAGCAGAAGAAGCCCCGGCUAACUUCGUGCCAGCAGCCGCGGUAAUACGAAGGGGGCUAGCGUUGUUCGGAAUCACUGGGCGUAAAGCGCACGUAGGAC